AUUCAGAGAAUGCGUUCCUGACACGUCGCGAUUGAACUGACGACUAUCUCGCAACGCACUGCCUUCGUUGAGUCAGCUGGAAGAGCUAGUAAGCUUUUUGGAAAGCAAACCAUGUUUGAUUAUGAUGGGCCAUGCUCGUACUGCGAAUGCGAGCAUGCAUGCAUGAUCCGAAAACAACAGCCCUAAACAGUGAAGUAGUGGGUGUAUGAAAAUAUUGGAGCAGUGGUGUAAGUACUGGAAGGACAAAAAGGAGCAGUUCAGAGGAAGUCCAGUUCUAUUGCAGCUGCAAGCCAACAUGAAGAAUUUGCCAGAACUCGGUGUAAUCAAGUUAAAAAUACAUUCUAUUAUGCAAGGAGAAUGUUUUGGAAUCUGAAUUUAAAAAUAAAUGCAUAUUCAUUAUAAAAUACAAAAUAAUAAAAAGACAUGAUGAAUUAAAA
Molecule: long non-coding RNA, 437 nt
Filed under: Helicoverpa zea (corn earworm)
Lineage: Eukaryota; Metazoa; Arthropoda; Insecta; Lepidoptera; Noctuidae
Description: uncharacterized LOC124633569, transcript variant X3
Source: RNAcentral